AAAUUAAGGAGUUUAAAAAUAUUUUCUACUUUUGACGAAAAGUCUUUUUCUUACCUUUUCAAAGCUUUUAAAAAUAUGAACAUAAAUGAUUAUGUUUUUGAACAUUCUUGUUUAAAUAAAAUUAAACAAAUAAAUAAUUAUAAUUUUUUGUCCUAUUUAUGUAUGACUUUGUCAGCUUAUUCUAUGGUAAGUAACAGCAAACACAAACCAGAAAUUGUUAAUAUAUUUUUUAAAAGUUUUGAGCAAAUUUUGUCCGGUUUAUGUAGUUAUACGGACGGUAUAAAUAACGUAGCUAUGGACCAAACAGAUAAAACACAUGUCGACGAAACUAAGCACAAUUUUAUAACUUCCAUCAUUUUUUAUUUUACCAAAAUAAAGUAUAUAAAAACGGUAGAGCUAAUAAAAAUGACAAUGAACUAUUUAGCCCAUCAUAAAAAUGAAUUGUCGGUAGAACAUUGUGUAAGUUUGCUAAAUUCACUAGCUAUUUUUUGUGCUAGUUUAAAAACAGAACAAAAAAAUAUGUAUUGGAACAAUUAUUAUGAUCUAGUCAUAUUUUUUGUAAAUAAAAUUCUAUUAAAUAAAGAGUUGUAUACAAAAAAAUGUUUAGUUAUGAAUUUAUUAAGUACUAGUGGUAAAAUUUUUUAUUCUUCUAUAAAUACUAAUAAAAUUAGUAUUAAAAAAAAUAAAAAAAAUUUGUUUUUUUUUAAAAAUGUAUUAAAUAGUUUAUUACCAUAUGUAUAUGAACAUAUGAAUGAAAUAUCUAGUAGUGACUUAGUUAUAUUGUCCUUGGGUUUAAAAAAAGAAAAUUAUUCAAAAGAAGCAAUGGAUUUAGUUUUGAUUGAUCAAUAUGACAAUUUUGUGGACAUGUUUGUCCAGCGAUGUCGAUUUGUUUGGGGUAGUAAUAGUAGUAAUAGUAGUAGUAGUAAUAGUAGUAGUAGUAGUAGUAGUAGUAGUAGUAAUAGUAGUAGUAGUAGUAAUAAUAGUAGUAGUAGUAGUAGUAGUAGUAGUAAUAAUAGUAGUAGUAGUGUCAGUUUGACUAGUAGCGAUUGUGUUAAGGGAAUAUUAACUAUGAACAAUCUAAUCGAGCUAGGUAUUUAUGACAGCAUUUUACAUGCUAUAAUAAUUAACAGUUGUGUUUUUCAAAGUGCAUGUUUGUCGUCUAUUCCUAUUUUAUGUCAAGCAUUGUUUUACAUAUGUAGGUAUAUAUUUUUAAAAGAACCUAUUGCUACAAAUAAGAAUAUAAUUUUAUUACAUACUUUAUAUGAACAGUUAUUUGUUUUAUUUAUUAACAAGAACAUAAUUAGUUUUAAUACAUUUAAUGAC
RNAcentral lists this long non-coding RNA (1323 nucleotides) under Piliocolobus tephrosceles (Ugandan red Colobus). Its description in RNAcentral is "lncRNA (ENSPTEG00000013043.1)". Lineage: Eukaryota; Metazoa; Chordata; Mammalia; Primates; Cercopithecidae. The record is from RNAcentral.